CCUACGGGAGGCAGCAGUAGGGAAUAUUGCUCAAUGGGGGAAACCCUGAAGCAGCAACGCCGCGUGGAGGAUGAAGGUUUUAGGAUUGUAAACUCCUUUUGUUAGAGAAGAUAAUGACGGUAUCUCACGAAUAAGCACCGGCUAACUCCGUGCCAGCAGCCGCGGUAAUACGGAGGGUGCAAGCGUUACUCGGAAUCACUGGGCGUAAGGAGUGCGCAGGCGGGCUUGUAAGUCAGAUGUGAAAUCCUGUAGCUUAACUACAGAACUGCAUUUGAAACUAUGAGUCUAGAGUGUGGGAGAGGUAGGGGGAAUUCUUGGUGAACGGGGAAAAUCCGUAGAUAUCAAGAGGAAUAC
This 354-nucleotide ribosomal RNA is filed under the name uncultured bacterium. RNAcentral's name for it is "partial 16S ribosomal RNA". It matches the Rfam family "Bacterial small subunit ribosomal RNA", at positions 338 to 709 of the family's 1533-position model. The record is from RNAcentral.